This 424-nucleotide long non-coding RNA is filed under the name Trifolium pratense (red clover). Its description in RNAcentral is "long non-coding RNA (TPRA_LNC012117)". The record is from RNAcentral. Lineage: Eukaryota; Viridiplantae; Streptophyta; Magnoliopsida; Fabales; Fabaceae.
AAGUACUCAAAUGCCAAACAUCAACUAAAUACUACUCAAAUACAAUCAAUUAAAGUUCAUAAAACUUACCCAAUCAAACCCUAAUUUGUGAACCUGAUGAACAAACAAUAACAUUCCAAACAAAAAAAAAAACUAGAAUAUGAAAUCAAAUAAUGAAAUAAGGAAGGGAUUGAGAAGCAAGUUGAAACCUUUCUAUUUGAAGAAGCUGAAGAAACCUUUCUUCAUGCUUAUACAUCAAAUCCAUACAAAAGUGUCUUCAUAAGGUUUUGUGACUUCUGAAUCCAAAUAUACAAAUAAUAGGGGGAGGUUUGAGCAUUCAAAAUUUGAAUUGAAUUUUGGAAGAGGAGGGAAUUGAUUUGUGUUUUGUUUCAAAGCUGUGAAGAGAGAAGGAUGUUUCACAAAAUAGUGAUAGGUGUUGUUUUUG